This 334-nucleotide unclassified non-coding RNA is filed under the name uncultured Glomeraceae. Its description in RNAcentral is "sequence contains 18S rRNA gene". Lineage: Eukaryota; Fungi; Glomeromycota; Glomeromycetes; Glomerales; Glomeraceae. The record is from RNAcentral.
CCCAACUAUCCCUAUUAAUCAUUACGUCGAUCCUAGAAACCAACAAAAUAAGAUCAAACGUCCUAUUUCAUUAUUCCAUGCUAAUGUAUUCAAGCGUUAGCUUGCUUUAAACACUCUAAUUUUUUCAAAGUAACAGUCCUGAUUCCCCGCGAUGUCAUUAAUUUGGUGUCGCGGCUCCUCAGAAGAGAGGAAUCAACAAAACCAGUACGUACCAUUGGCACGACCAGUGAAUUGACCCCGAAAUUCAACUACGAGCUUUUUAACUGCAGCAACUUUAAUAUACGCUAUUGGAGCUGGAAUUACCGCGGCUGCUGGCACCAGACUUGCCCUCCAA